Molecule: unclassified non-coding RNA, 1503 nt
Filed under: uncultured fungus
Lineage: Eukaryota; Fungi
Description: sequence contains 18S rRNA gene, ITS1, 5.8S rRNA gene, ITS2, 28S rRNA gene
Rfam family: Eukaryotic large subunit ribosomal RNA (bases 403-1503)
Source: RNAcentral
GGAAGGAUCAUUACCACUGGUCGCAAGACCUUCAACAACUUGUGCACUUUAAAACCGUCUUUGCGAGCUUCGGCUCGCUUGUCGACUUGUCAACUGUUUGUUUUUUUGGGAUUAUAAAUUUACAACCAUUAACGGUGGAUCUCUGGGCUCAUGCAUCGAUGAAGAACGCAACAAACUGUGAUACGUAAUGUGAAUUGCAGAUGUUCGUGAAUCAUCGAAUUUUUGAACGCAUAUUGCGGUUUCCUGUAAGGGCGACCAUGUCUGCUUGAGUGUCACUUAUCAUAAAUCACUUUCGGGUGGAAGUGGGAGUCACGUUCGCGAGUCUCCUUAAAUUAGUUUCCUUGCGAUCUCACGAUCGUAGGAACAUGGUAGUUUCUGCUGUGUUCCGUGACUUAAUAAACUUGACCUCAAUUCAGACAAGACUACCCGCUGAACUUAAGCAUAUUAAUAAGCGGAGGAAAAGAAACUAACAAGGAUUCCCCCAGUAACGGCGAGUGAAGAGGGAACAGUCCAAGUCGAAAGCUCCGUGGUUUCCACGGCGCGAUGUGACCUGAAGGAACAUGUUCCGGUACGAAGUCUGGCGUAACUCCGUUGGAAAACGGGGUCAAAGAGGGUGACAAUCCCGUAUUUGGCUGGUCCUAGUGCCUUUGCAACAUGUUUCCGCUGAGUCGAGUAGUUUGGGAAUGCUGCUCAAAGUAGGUGGUAAAUUCCAUCUAAGACUAAAUAUAUGCAUGAGACCGAUAGCGAACAAGUACCGUGAGGGAAAGAUGAAAAGGACUUUGAAAGGAGAGUCAAAAAGUACGUGAAACCGUUAAUGGGGAAACGAAUGCAAUCCUCGCAGCGGCGUGGGUUACAAUGUCUUGACUCUCCGUUUGACUUUAGCGCGGACCGAAAGGCCAGCGAUGGCGAACGUUGUCAGGGCAUGUACUCCCAUUCUGCGGCCAAUAUCGGUCAGUCUUGGGAUAAAGUCUCGAAGGGAAGGUGCUCCGGAGUCUUCGGGUUUCGGAGGUUAUAACCCUUUGCGGACGAUCUGGGACUAACUGAGGAACUUGUCUUAUAUAACGGUAAAUUCACGACGUGUUCGGGAACGAGUCAGAAUGGCGACAUUCAGGCUUCUUUCUGAAUUCGUACGGGGUCAACCAGACUUGAGAUAUGACAUUGGCCAGAACGAUUACAUCCGUCCCGUCUUGAAACACGGACCAAGGAGUCUAACAUGUGCGCGAGUCGUAGGGUGUCAAACCUGAAGGCGCAAUUAACGUGAAGGGGCCGCAAGGCUCUGAGGUGUGAACAUUCGUGCAACACCGACCGACCCGGAUGGUUUCCUGAAAGGUUCGAGUUUGAGCGUACAUGUUGGGACCCGAAAGAUGGUGAACUAUGCCUGAACAGGGUGAAGCCUGAGGAAACUCAGGUGGAAGCUCGUAGAGAUUCUGACGUGCAGAUCGAUCUCUAGAUUUGGGUAUAGGGGCGAAAGACUAAUCGAACCAUCUAGUAGCUGGUUCCCUC